This 45-nucleotide non-coding RNA is filed under the name Schistosoma mattheei. The record is from RNAcentral. Lineage: Eukaryota; Metazoa; Platyhelminthes; Trematoda; Strigeidida; Schistosomatidae.
GUUCAACUGACGAGUCCCGAGUAGGACGAAACGCGCGUCAUAGAU